GAAAACUUUUGCAAAACCUUGUCAUUUUAAAAUUGCUCAUUUUCAUGGAUUUAGAUGGCAUUCCAAGCGAUUAAAGAUUACCCAAACAAUAUAUAUUUAAAACAGCAAUCAAACUAGAUUUGCAUUACAUUUCCCGAAUGCCUCCAGAGCUUUCUAAUCUAUAAAUAUGAAAACUUUGUCAAAUGUGAAGUAGUAAAAAAAAAAUUGCCAUGAUUUCAACCCCCCACCUCCAAAGAUUUGCACAUCUUUUUUCCUGGUGCAUGCAAUGUUGAUGAAUGUCACUAAUGAGCUACAUGCAAAUGCAACCCUUCAGAGAUGUGGAAUUGACAGUCCCAUCUGUCAUCCAUAUGGGUUCAUUCUGGCCAACUACAUGACCACUUCAGACAACUAUUAACUCAC
Molecule: unclassified non-coding RNA, 399 nt
Filed under: Hevea brasiliensis (rubber tree)
Lineage: Eukaryota; Viridiplantae; Streptophyta; Magnoliopsida; Malpighiales; Euphorbiaceae
Source: RNAcentral